UACGUAGGGGGCAAGCGUUGUCCGGAUUCAUUGGGCGUAAAGAGCGUGUAGGCGGCCUGAAAGGUCAGCUGUGAAAACUCGAGGCUCAACCUCGAGACGUCGGUUGAAACCAUCUGGCUAGAGUCCGGAAGAGGAGUGUGGAAUUCCCGGUGUAGCGGUGAAAUGCGCAGAUAUCGGGAAGAACACCAAUGGCGAAGGCAGCUCGCUGGGACGGUACUGACGCUGGGGAGCGAAAGCGUGGGGAGCGAACGGG
Molecule: ribosomal RNA, 253 nt
Filed under: uncultured bacterium
Lineage: Bacteria
Description: partial 16S ribosomal RNA
Rfam family: Bacterial small subunit ribosomal RNA
Source: RNAcentral